UACGGAGGGGGCUAGCGUUGUUCGGAAUUACUGGGCGUAAAGCGCACGUAGGCGGAUCAGAAAGUUGGGGGUGAAAUCCCGGGGCUCAACCUCGGAACUGCCUUCAAAACUAUUGGUCUUGAGUUCGAGAGAGGUGAGUGGAAUUCCGAGUGUAGAGGUGAAAUUCGUAGAUAUUCGGAGGAACACCAGUGGCGAAGGCGGCUCACUGGCUCGAUACUGACGCUGAGGUGCGAAAGCGUGGGGAUCAAACAGG
Molecule: ribosomal RNA, 253 nt
Filed under: uncultured bacterium
Lineage: Bacteria
Description: partial 16S ribosomal RNA
Rfam family: Bacterial small subunit ribosomal RNA
Source: RNAcentral